UGAGAGAGGUCAGCGUGAGCCCCUUGCCUCACACCGGCCCCUCCCACGCUGAGAGAGGUCAGUGUGAGCCCUUGCCUCACACCGGCCCCUCCCACGCGGACAGAGGUCAGCGUGAGCCCCUUGCCUCACACCGGCCCCUCCCACGCUGAGAGAGGUCAGUGUGAGCCCUUGCCUCACCCCGGCCCCUCCCACGUGGACAGAGGUCAGCGUGAGCCCCUUGUCUCACACCGGCCCCUCCCACGCUGAGAGAGGUCAGCCCGAGCCCCUUGCCUCACACCGGCCCCUCCCACGCUGAGAGAGGUGUGAGCCCCUUGUCUCACACCGGCCCCUCCCACGCGGACAGAGGUCAGCGUGAGCCCCUUGCCUCACCCCGGCCCCUCCCACGCUGAGAGAGGUCAGUGUGAGCCCUUGCCUCACACCGGCCCCUCCCACGCGGACAGAGGUC
Molecule: long non-coding RNA, 445 nt
Filed under: Homo sapiens (human)
Lineage: Eukaryota; Metazoa; Chordata; Mammalia; Primates; Hominidae
Description: HSALNT0317695
Source: RNAcentral